AUUGAACGCUGGCGGCGUGCUUAACACAUGCAAGUCGAGCGGCAGCGCGGGAGCAAUCCUGGCGGCGAGCGGCGAACGGGUGAGUAAUGCUUCGGAAUCUGCCCUUCAGUGGGGAAUAACCAGUCGAAAGACUGGCUAAUACCGCAUACGAACUGAGGUUGAAAGCAGGGGAUCGCAAGACCUUGCGCUGAUGGAUGAGCCGAAGUCGGAUUAGCUUGUUGGUGGGGUAAUGGCCCACCAAGGCGACGAUCCGUAGCUGGUCUGAGAGGAUGAUCAGCCACACUGGAACUGAGACACGGUCCAGACUCCUACGGGAGGCAGCAGUAGGGAAUAUUGGACAAUGGGCGCAAGCCUGAUCCAGCCAUGCCGCGUGAGUGAAGAAGGCCCUCGGGUUGUAAAGCUCUUUUGUCCGGAAAGAAAAGCGCCGGGUUAAUACCCUGGUGUCCUGACGGUACCGGAAGAAUAAGCACCGGCUAACUUCGUGCC
This 486-nucleotide ribosomal RNA is filed under the name uncultured bacterium. RNAcentral's name for it is "bacterial SSU rRNA". It matches the Rfam family "Bacterial small subunit ribosomal RNA", at positions 30 to 509 of the family's 1533-position model. The record is from RNAcentral.